AUGUUGGAAAUGGGCGGCGCUUCGUGGAGGUGGCGCCCUUUGUCGUUGGACCGCGCCACAGGACGCCAUUGUCUGUUUGGCGGCGCAGCACCGCGCGGCGUGCGCGACGCACGUCGACGCCCGGCGUCGCGACGCCACUCUUGCACGCAACGCCGUCGCGGCCGUCGUCAUCUUCCUGCCUCUUUUCUCUCUGCCUUCAGCUAGCCGCCCGAAUUUCUGCGCCGAGAGGUAAGUCGACGAUCCGUACGUAUGCGCGUGUGUUUGUGCGUCGUUUACAUGUUAGUCCUAUACAGGUAUGUGUGCAUAUGUGUGAGUUGUGUACGCGCACGGACGUGAGGAUGCGUGAACGAGAUUCUCGUAUGAACGUGUGUCGCAAUUUGCUACUUUAUUGCUCCUUUUCCUCCACCCUUCUUUUUUUCUCGUGUCUCUUUCCUGCCAUACAUUUUCUUGUCUGUAUAACCGUCUUGUACUGUUUACCGCGUCUUCCAACAUAGACAAACAUUAUUCUUUAUGUACACCACUUUUUACAAAUAUUCGUUACACAUUGUUUCUUUUAUACAUUGCACGAAUACAUGUGGACUAGGGUUUUUUAACGUAAAGGCAACGUGAGGAAGUUUCUUAAACUGGAACUGGUGUCAUUCGGAAGUAUACGAGAUUGAACAAUGUCAGUCUUCGACUGCCACCUAUGUACACAUGCUUGUACUCGCAAGUUUCCUACCUACCUUUAAUUCCCUACUUCAUGGAAUACUGCGUUACAGUUAACCCAUUCCACUAAUCGUCCAUCAACCAUUAAUAUGUGUAUUUUACGCAUCCGUAUAUCAAAGAAAAACAUUUUAAUUUCCUACAUACGUACAUUGCACUGCUUUCUUUUAUCUUAAACAGUUUCUCUGUAUGACAAUAAUUAUUCUGUACUACUGAUACUUUGUAUAAAUCGUCUAAUCUAUAUCGUGUCACAAGAAGGCAGCACACACGCGAAAUAAUUGUUCGGACACGUUCGAUCGUAUCGCGAAGUCGACAUCGUUUUGCCCUAGAACAGGUGACUCCAAUUACGGUCCAAUUACCUGUGCGUUUAAUUCUCGUCCGACGCGACGGUUGAGGCGUUAAUUCGAGAGCGUGUA
Molecule: long non-coding RNA, 1118 nt
Organism: Bombus terrestris (buff-tailed bumblebee)
Lineage: Eukaryota; Metazoa; Arthropoda; Insecta; Hymenoptera; Apidae
Exons: 2
Source: RefSeq, a predicted model, not a curated record